RNAcentral lists this ribosomal RNA (252 nucleotides) under uncultured bacterium. RNAcentral describes it as "partial 16S ribosomal RNA". It matches the Rfam family "Bacterial small subunit ribosomal RNA", at positions 524 to 776 of the family's 1533-position model. The record is from RNAcentral.
UACGUAGGGGGCAAGCGUUGUCCGGAUUUAUUGGGCGUAAAGAGCGUGUAGGCGGUUUGGUAGGUCCGUUGUGAAAACUCGAGGCUCAACCUCGAGACGCCGAUGGAAACCAUCAGACUAGAGUCCGGAAGAGGAGAGUGGAAUUCCUGGUGUAGCGGUGAAAUGCGCAGAUAUCAGGAAGAACACCCGUGGCUAAGGCGGCUCUCUAGUACGGUACUGACGCUGAGACGCGAAAGCGUGGGAGCGAACAGG